AUUGAACGCUGGCGGAAUGCUUUACACAUGCAAGUCGAACGGUAGAGGGGGCAACCCCUUGAGAGUGGCGAACGGGUGAGUAAUAUAUCGGAACGUGCCCAGUCGUGGGGAUAACGUAGCGAAAGUUACGCUAAUACCGCAUACGAUCUACGGAUGAAAGCGGGGGACUCGCAAGAGCCUCGCGCGAUUGGAGCGGCCGAUAUCAGAUUAGGUAGUUGGUGGGGUAAAGGCUCACCAAGCCAACGAUCUGUAGCUGGUCUGAGAGGACGACCAGCCACACUGGAACUGAGACACGGUCCAGACUCCUACGGGAGGCAGCAGUGGGGAAUUUUGGACAAUGGACGCAAGUCUGAUCCAGCCAUUCCGCGUGCAGGAUGAAGGCCCUCGGGUUGUAAAGCUCUUUUGUCCGGGAAGAUAAUGACUGUACCGGAAGAAUAAGCCCGGCUAACUUCGUGCCAGCAGCCGCGGUAAAGUGACUACUG
This 482-nucleotide ribosomal RNA is filed under the name uncultured bacterium. Its description in RNAcentral is "bacterial SSU rRNA". It matches the Rfam family "Bacterial small subunit ribosomal RNA", at positions 30 to 532 of the family's 1533-position model. The record is from RNAcentral.